UGGCGAUGGGUAGGCAUUUCUUGGGACUUCAGAAGAAAAUGAAGACAAAGAACCUGUUGAAGAGGAGGCGAAGGAGAAUGAACCUUAUGCUGUGCCGACUGCUGGGGCUUUCUACAUGCACGAUGAUCGGUUCCAGGACAAUGGCAGGGGUCGCCGAAGGCGUAUGUUUGGUGUCCAAAAGUUGUGGGAUUCUAAAGAUCAACGUGCUUGGGUACAUGAUAGAUUUGAAGAAAUGAAUCUGCAGGAUGCACAAAAUCAUGAGGAACAGCGGAAGUCUAGAGGUCGUUU
Zingiber officinale is the source of this 288-nucleotide long non-coding RNA. RefSeq lists it as uncharacterized. Lineage: Eukaryota; Viridiplantae; Streptophyta; Magnoliopsida; Zingiberales; Zingiberaceae. The record is from RefSeq and is a predicted model, not a curated record. The transcript is spliced from 3 exons.